This 38579-nucleotide long non-coding RNA is filed under the name Pelobates cultripes (western spadefoot toad). Lineage: Eukaryota; Metazoa; Chordata; Amphibia; Anura; Pelobatidae. The record is from RNAcentral.
CUGAUUGAUAAAGCCGUCUGGCGAAACACAUCUCGGAGGAGGAGAAAGGACCACCCAAGACUGUGGACUGGUAACCUUAGCACUUUUGAGAUUUAUAUUUGAAUUGUUUAUUGUUUUAAAUAAGUGUAUUUUAAUGUGACCUUGAACCCAGCGGUCCAUUGCUGUUUACUGUUCCUACUACUAAAAAGGGAAGUGCUCCCCUUAAAGGUACGUAAACUGUUAUACCGAGAGCCUAGUAUAAUUGGCUCCCCACAAGUAAAUACUUGUCUCUACACUUUGUUCCUAUCAGCUAUUUUAGUAAUUCUGCACCAGGAUAUCCUGUUUCUUUUUUGUCUCCCUAUUUUGAUGACAAUCUGGCCAGGAUCCAGAGAGGGUUUGGUAUUACCUAAUAUACCUCCGCCUAAGAGAUUUGAGCCUAUCCCUAUGUGGCUCUAUACCAUGUGAGUGUGGUUCAUACUUUUCCACAUACCAAUCUGUUGGGCUUGAUAUACUUCACCAUUGUGUAUUGUUUUCUCUCUUUUAGAGAAUUUUGCCAUUAUACACUCUACCCAGAUUGUAUAGGGGUAAGUGCAAUCUGCUGUAGUGCUCCACUAAGUGGACUUUUUGGUGGUGUGUUCCACCGGGGACACUUGCUUGGUUCAAUUACUUGUGUGUAAUUUUGGAGGUAGUUACACAAGUUUUGAGCUGCUAUCCACACAUAUAUAUCUACUUUGUUUUAAUCACAAUGCGCCCUUAAUUGCACAGAACGCUUUUCUCUAUUUUUUAAACAGAAAAAAAAUAUCGGAUUGUCAGCUGAAUUAAAUAUUUUCAUUGUUUCAUUAUGUUUUUAAAAAUAAUAUACCUUUAACUUCUGAGUACCUUUCUGUGAUGCUCAGCUCUGGCGUCUCUGGCACUGAGGGUAUACCAGCUCCUGCACGCUAUCAUCAGUGGGUUUCUUUUAUUUCACCUGCACCACUAACGGCUAACUAAAAGCUAAAAGUCAGCUUUGAUAGUGUAUCCACUGGCAGUGCAGGAUAUACUGCAUUAAUAUCUGGUUACUAUAGGGUAUUCUAUCUACUCCACUUGCAAUACUCUAUAAGUAACUACUCUAUAGAGGACUAUAAAUAGCUAUGUACCUGGGAGACCUCAAGGAAGAGACAAAACAAGCUUCUUCUUAGUUCAGACAAUGACAGGUAACUUUAUCUUACAGGAACCAGGGUUUUUAAACACUCAGCACACAAUUUACAACUAUAAUUUUUGUUACAGUUUCCUUUUUGUGCCUGUCCACCCUGGCAACAAAGAGCUAUCUAGACCGGCAAGGCAGAUAUCUCAGCAUGACAAUCUCUAUCACAAUCUGGAACUCCGAGUUUCUUAACAGGCCACAGCACAGAGGGAAUGUAUUUACAAAUAUUUACACCACCAGCUCAAUGCCUUUAAACACAUGUUGACUUUGCCCUGAUUCUCUGGAUUUUCCCUAGGCCAUACAAUGCAGCUUAGAAUAUGACUAGCAUAUCAAAAUAAUACUAUAAAUAUGCCAUUUUGUCACACUUUCCAUCCUCAUGUUGACUAUAUAUUUUUCUAUUAUAUUAUUCAUACGGCAUGUUCACUAAUUUAUCUGAAAAGUGACCGAUAGAUCAACUUUUUCUGUCCUACUUGAUCAUUUAUGGUGUCCUUUGUUCAAUAGGUACUGGUGUAUCUUAUAUAACUGUCCUAGAGUUUGACACUGGUUGCUCCACUCACAGACCACUUUAUGAUGUUUAUAAUGAUGAUUCUGUGCACUGUACUGCUUCCUCUGGAGGCACUGGUCAGAUAUGUGUUCUGUUUUUCCUUGCCAUCAACAAUGGCAGCAUGGCAGGAGAUAUGCCAGCCUUAUUUUCUGCCCCCUCCCCCCCCCCUCCUGGGGCAGUUGAGAAGAUUUUUAAGCAUACAUAUAACUCUUGAUCGAAUUAGCCUAUUUUAAUAGUUUCAUUUAUAGACCCAUGGUAAAAUUUAUUACAUAAAGAAGAAUACUGCAGUUUGCUUCCAUUUGAAGUAAAAUUGUAUCUUUAAAAAAUUAUUUUUCGUUCAAAGCCAACAACAGGAAUUACGAAUGUUAUAUAAACUACAUCUGUUUGAACUCACCUCAACAUCAGUGUAAAUAAAUAUGUCCUCUAAUAGUUUGGAUUCAUCCCCAGCAGAUGCUCCUAUCACAAGUUUCAUACAAUAUGACCAAUUUGGGAGUAUUACGAUAAUCAAUCAUGCUGUCAUUGGCUUAAUGUACUUGGUAUUUAAAGAAGAUGUGUGAAUCUCUAGAGUGGUCAGAAAACACCAUAAUGCGUGUUUUCGUAGAUAAUUGCUUAGAUGAAAUAACUUUUUUUGCAUAUCUUGUCUUUUUUUCUUAAGUCUAAACUGCUUUUUGUGCUGAUUUAUUUUUCCAAACACUGUCAGUAAUGUUAUCUUUAAUAUCUAAGCACCUGUACUUAAAAAAAAAAAAAAAAAUUAAAAAAAAGGAAACUAAUUUCUGUAAAAUUCUGCCAACGUGGUGAUUACCUUGAACUCAUUUUGCUUUAGGUACAAACAUUAGCGAACAGUCAUCAAUAUUUUGUAUCAUCCUCUUCUUUGUUGUGCUUUAUGGGCUACAGAUGCCUGCACUGAUUAAAAGCAUAAAAAGGCCAUAGCCAUUUCUAGAGAACUUCCCAAAAAAUACAGUUUUAAAUUCAUAAUAAAAUACCAAUUUAAUAGUUAUUUUAAAAAAGCAGUUUUAGUUCUUUGGUAUUCAGUAGAAAUAAGAGCAGCUGUUGUAAUCGGGUAAUGACUUGGCACUGCUUUUUCUUAUGUAGAGAACUUUGUAAUAUAUACUUACAAUCAGUGUUGUACCUAAGUUAUCUGGCACUUGGGGGGGAGGAGGAUUUAUAUUGCCAACCUUCCCACACAUAUCUGCAAACUGUAGGAUUUGUUUUUGUAUUUUUGCAAUGCACCUAACACCCUUUUGUUAGGGAAAUUACAAAACACACUCACUUUUAUGUCCAUAUGCUAACACUCACAUACACACACACAUACACUUAUAUCACACACACACACACACACACACACACACACACACACACACACACACACACACGCAUAUAUACUUACAUCCAUACACUCACAUACACAUUUGUUUUUUAUUUAGAAUUGUAUUCCUCAAAUCUUGUGGUCUGCUACUAGUAUGUCUCUGCAUACUGAUUGCACAGCCACCUGCACCUCUGUUACACAAAAGUCUUUACUUAUAGUAAAGUGCUCUACCACCUCCAGAACAUCCAGAUCCAGAACCCCACCUUGGUAGGGGCACUGAAUAUUCAAACUCUCUCUCUCUCUCUUAACUUUUAUUUAGCUUUAUAAAUAAAAUGUCAACAUUUCAGUUUUUACACAAAACUUUCAUCUGGACAAUGCUUCACAAGACACAAAUAGUGACUAUAUACCUAUAAAAACAAUAAACAUCAAGUACUCACCUCCUUGUGCAAGUUAUGAAUGCCCAGAAGUUAUGAGUGAGCACCUCGAAGCCAUGAGCAUGCACCACAGUUUGCGACACCCCCACCAUUUGCAUUUCAGCCGGUUGCCCUAGCAACAAGAUGAUGGUAAACAAUCAAGGCAGUUGAGUUACACUGCCAAAAUACAAUUAAAAGCAAAGUAUUUUAUAAAUAUCAAAAAGUGCUAGCAAGCAUUAGCAGGAAGGGAGCAAGCACUAAAAGGGAGGGAGCCAUAAGGGUUACUGUAUUGGUGCUAAGCAUGUUACAAUGCAGCCAUGAGUAUAUGGAAGGAUGAAAUGUGUGCAGCUGGGUCAGAGGUCAGAGCCACACACCUAGCCAAGAUUUUUAAAGUUUCACUGCUGGCAAUAAAUACACUCUUCUAGUAGGGGGAGAAAACAGAUUCUAACAAAACAUAUAUUAGCCUACGAGGACCCCAGUCUUAGUAUAGAGGGUGCAAGCAGUAACUGGGUCACUUCAGAACUGAUACAUGACUCAGUAUAACACUUACAGCUACUAUAAAGCACAUGAUAACUAUAUAGUUAUUAUAGAACAAAGAAAUAUGAACAACUAAGUAAAGAUGCUGUGAGAUUACUGCAGCACAGGUGCAGGGCUCUGUAUAACACCUAAAGGACUCCAAAAUGGUUCCUCAAAUAAAAGGUGGAAAAAAACAAACAAAAAAAACAUAUGAAAUGUACAGACAGUCACAGUACAACUGGUGCAGGACUCACUAAAUAUCUUUCUAGGAAAUAUACAACAUACUGCACAACUUUUACAGGAUGAUAAAGUAAAAUAGAUAACUCAAGGCUCCAUAUAAGCAGCAUAGUUUACAUGCAAAAAAACAAAACAAAAGAAAGAAUAAAAAUAUUACUGCCUUAAUGUUGAACUUGAAAGGUAGAUAUAUAAUCUAAUUUCAUAAGUGAACUAUACCAAAAAGGGCAGGACAAAGUAUAAGGUCCAAUGACGCCCAAGCUUCAGCUUCCACACAGACGUCAUGACAUUUUCUCCCAGGAUUUCCUGAUACUUCUAUUAAUCCAUGUUGUCUUCCACAUGCUGCAGAUUUCUAGUUCAGAGAUUUCAAAGCAACCCCAGAGCAUCACUGAACUACCACCAUGCUUAACUGUAGGCAGAGUGUUCUUUUUGGCAUAUGCUUCAUUCUUCUCCUCCAGACAUACCGCUGAUCCAUUGGGCUGAAAAGUUCCAGUUUUCUUUCUUUCGUUUAUUUAUUUUCAUACCACAGAACAGAAACCCAAAACAUCUGUGGCUUAUUUAUAUGAUAUUGAGCAUAUUAAAGCAACUUUUCUUUGUUUUUGGGUUAGGUGCACAACUUAGAGUUCUGGCAUGUAAAUCUUCUGUGUUUAGUUUGUCUUACUGUGUUCACUGAAACCACAGUGCCUGUUACCAUCAUGCACUUAAGUGCCUCCAACUUAAGUGAGGAAGAAUUUUGGACUUUUAAACAGGACUGGUUUUAUAGUUUAUUAUUCACUUUUUACUUAUUGUAUUAAAGUAUAUAUAUUUUUUAAACUAUCCAGUCAUUCCUUUUGUCCUCCUUCCUAUCCAAUACUGCUUUGCUGCUAUACCUGGGUCCACUAUAUCCCAAGGUGGGGAUUAUUCCACCUGAAAUUCUUCAAACUAGAGCAGGUCGUUGCUCUAGUAUAUGUAAGUAGGAUCAUCCACUUUUUUUCACAAUAUUUUAUAUUUACGUACUAUACCAUGUGGUGUAUUUUACUCUUGUUUUUCAUGUAACGAAUAUUUACACCUAUAAAUUCACCAACGGUCUUGAACCUCAAGAAAUCCAUAGACGGGGAUUAUUCCGUCCAGGCUCUUAACACCGAGCUGAUAUAGCUCCUCAAAGUGUGAGUGUGAAUAUAACACCUUUGUUCUUGUGGAAUUAUAUCGUUCAUACAUACUGUACCAUUAUUUGUAUUUUUGUUUCUCUUUUUUUUUUAAGUUACUCUGCUGGCCAGUAUUUCUACAAAACGUAUGUACAUUUUCUGAUUUUUAGCGCUGUUCACUUUUCUAUUUUACAUGAUAAAAAAAGCCUGCACUUUCAGAUUUACAAAUCAGGGACCCCUUAAUGUAACUCUGCAUGGUUCCUGGCAUAGGGAGAACUUGUCCUGCUGCUUCUCCUUUGGAUCUCCCCCUACCACAUAACCUAAACACCCCCCACCAUCAGUGCAACACACAUAGGAAAAAAAAGUAGAAUGCCUUCUUUAAUGAUGCUGCAGCUGGGAUGAUGUUAAAUCUCAGCUUUCAGCUAUAGUACAGUGUGGUGAGGGAGCUGUGCACCAAGAGCAGUGCUCCCCCCUGCUGCCUGUCACUUGGCGGCAGAUCGCCCCUCCCCCUUUAUUAGUAUGCUGCUGUUUACAAUAUCUUUAAUUGUAUUUAAUAAAAUUAGGUCAUAUUAGCUUAGAGACAUCAAAAAAUAUUUCAUUGUAAUUUAUAUUUUUAUUACAUAUUUUGAAUACCUUCAUAAUGUUUUUAAAAAUAAAUAGAUCAAAUACUGCUUGAAGCAUAUAUUCAAUAUGUGUGUUAUUUAAAAUGCAACAUACUGACUCUUUUUAUCAGGGAAUUAAUAUUGGGUUUUUUUUAGUUAAAAAUAUUAAAUAAUCAUAACCUUAUACAUGCUAUUUUUUCAGCUGAUGAAAUUAAAGCAAGUACAUAACUAGCCAUCCUGCAAAACUGCCAGUAACAUUCAUCAGCAUGAUAUUUACUGUAAACAUUUCACGUAAUCACUUAAAGGGAAAUGUCACUUCCCAAUAACUGAGUAUGUGUCACAUUGGCUAUUUUAGUCCGCAUCUUGCAAUUUGGGUUUCAAUUCACUACAAUCCACUAUUUAGUAAAUAAACCUUAGCAUUCACAUUUACUUGUUCUCAUUUGCAUGAAUGCAAAUAUAGUCUGUAGAAACUGUCAGUGGGAUAUUGUUAAAAAAACACUAUUUGGUCAGGAACACAAUUAUGAAUUCAUGACCCUAUCUUAUCGUAUUAAAACCACCAUGUAGCCCCCCUGACCCCACUUGCAUCCCUUAAUAUAGUAAAAUCUUACUUGUAUUCAACCCUGCAGCUGCAGCUUCUUCCCCUAUGCUCUGACCUCCCUGAUGUCUGCUGACAUCAUCAGAAGUGGUGGUGUAAGCCAAUCACAAUGCUUCUCCAUAGGAUUAGCUGAGACUGUCAAGGAGGCAGAUUAGGGACAGAGCCAGCAAAAGUCAAACACAGCCAUGGCCAAUCACAAUAUCCUCAUAGAGGUGAAUUGAAUCAAUGUAUCUCUAUGAGAAAAGUGCAGUGUCUGCAUGCAGAGGGUGGCGACACUGAAUGGCAGUACUGCACUUCUUGUACCAAUCUGAGGAGUGGCCAGUGGAGUUAUCACUAUGCUAUAAUGUAAACACUGUAUUUUCUCUGAAAAUACGGUGUUUACUGCAAAACGCCUGAAGGGAGUGAUUCUACUAACAAGAACAAAUACAAUAAGCUGUAGUUGUUCUGGUGACUAAAGUGUCCCUUUAGAGGUAGACCGCUUGUUUUCCCAUCCCAUGUUUGUGAAUAAGGCCUUGAUUUAUUGAUUUGCCUUGAUUUUAUAUUUUUUGGAUAUGCUUUUUAAAUUAUUUAAUAUUUUCAAAUAAAUGUUUAAAAAUGAUGUAAUAUUUAGAAAAAUAUUUUAGUGUUUUGAUAUAUUGAUAGUUUUGUAUAUAUGAUAAAAAAAUUUGAUAUUUUAAUAUUUUGAAAAAAAUAUAUAUUUUAAAAGCAUACAGUUGCAAGAAAAAGUAUGUGAACCCUUUGGAAUGAUAUGGAUUUCUGCACAAAUUGGUCAUAAAAUGUGAAAAAGUCACAACAAUAGACAAUCACAGUCUGCUUAAACUAAGAACACACAAAGAAUGAAAUGUUGCCAUGUUUUUAUUGAACACACCAUGUAAACAUUCACAGUGCAGGUGGUAAAAGUAUGUGAACCCGUGGAUUUAAUAACUGGUUGAACCUCCUUUGGCAGCAAAAACUUCAACUAAACGUUUCCUGUAGUUGCAGAUCAGACGUGCACAACAGUCAGGAGUAAUUCUUGACCAUUCCUCUUUAAAGAACUGUUUCAGUUCAGCAAUAUUCUUGGGAUGUCUGGGGUGAAUCGCUUUCUUGAGGUCAUGCCACAGCAUCUCAAUCAGGUUGAGGUCAGGACUCUGACUGGGCCACUUCAGAAGGCGUAUUUUUUUCUGUUUAAGCCAUUCUGUUGUUGAUUUACUUCUAUGCUUUGGGUCAUUGUCAUGUUGCAACACCCAUCUUCUGUUGAGCUUCAGCUGGUAGACAGAUGGCCUUAAGUUCUCCCGCAAAAUGUCUUGAUAAACUUGGGAAUUCAUUUUUCCUUCAAUGAUAGCAAUCCAUCCAGGCCCUGAUGCAGCAAAGCAGCCCCAAACCAUGAUGCCCCCACCACCAUACUUCACAGUUGGGAUGAGGUUUUGAUGUUGGUGUGCUGUGCCUCUUUUUCACCACACAUAGUGUUGUGUGUUUCUUCCAAACAACUCAACUUUGGUUUCAUCUGUCCACAGAAUAUUUUGCUAGUACUGCUGUGGAACAGCCAGGUGCUCUUGUGCAAACUGUAAACAUGCAGCAAUGUUUUGUUUGGACAGCAGUGGCUUCCUCUGUGGUAUCCUCCCAUGAAAUCCAUUCUUGUUUAGUGUUUUACGUAUUGUAGAUUCGCUAACAGGGAUGUUAGCAUUUGCCAGUGACUUUUGUAAGUCUUUAGCUGACACUCUAGGAUUCUUCUUCACCUCAUUGAGCAGUCUGCGCUGUGCUCUUGCAGUCAUCUUUACAGGACGGCCACUCCUAGGGAGAGUAGCAGCAGUGCUGAACUUUCUCCAUUUAUAGACAAUUUGUCUUACCGUGGACUGAUGAACAGCAAGGCUUUUGGAGAUACUUUUAUAACCCUUUCCAGCUUUAUGCAAGUCAACAAUUCUUAACCGUAGGUCUUCUGAGAGCUCUUUUGUGUGAGGCAUCAUUCACAUCAGGCAAUGCUUCUUGUGAAAAGCAAACCCAGAACUGGUGUGUGUUUUUUUAUAGGGCAGGGCAGCUGUAACCAACACCUCCAAUCUCAUCUCAUUGAUUGGACUCCAGUUGGCUGACAUCUCACUCCAAUUAGCUCUUGGAGAUGUCAUUAGUCUAGGGGUUCACUUACUUUUUCCACCUGCACUGUGAAUGUUUACAUGGUGUGUUCAAUACAAACAUGGCAACAUUUCAUUCUUUGUGUGUUAUUAGUUUAAGCAGACUGUGAUUGUCUAUUGUUGUGACUUAGAUGAUGAUCAGAUCACAUUUUAUGACCAAUUUGUGCAGAAAUCCAUAUCAUUCCAAAGGGUUCACAUACUUUUUCUUGCAACUGUAUACAAAAAUAUUAAAUAAAGUUGGGGCUGGCAAGAACCUAAAACCAAAGGGGCUCUGGUUAAUGCUUUAAUUCCCUCUCUCGUUUUCAUAAUGUGCAUUAUGGUUUAAUAAUAAAGCAGAUCACACUAUUUACUAGGGCUUUUCUCUCAGUGGUUUGACCUUUAUCCUAACUGAAUAUUGAAAUAAAUAGAGCAGCUUAUAUUAUGUCAAAAAGCACAUAUUUGCAAAAAGGUUCCUUUUUACUGGUGUUGCUUAUUUUAUAUAACUUAUGUAAUAUCCUUCAUUCUAUAUUAUAUCUGAGCAAUCUAAAGUGUUCAUUUCUAAUUAUGAGCAGAUCUUAAUCAUACAGAAAUUGUUUGUUCAUUCUUGUUUUGCUUAAUUCAUUUCAACACUUUAAUUGCUCCCCGUACUAAAAAUAUUAUCAGUUAGUUUGUUGUUUCUUGCAUGAUAUGACAUGUAUCCUUGCUUUCAUGUGAUUUAUUCUUAAAUACCAUCUAAUCUGAAAUUAAUUGAUGUUUAUCACUUUAAAUUAUGUUGUUAGCAUUUGAAUUGUUGUUAUUUUUAACAGAUUUAAAUCUGGGAAAGAGAAGAUCAAAUGAGAAAAAAAUAUGCGUUUUGAUAUAUGUAGAUACUUUUUAUGGUGUAUGUGCUACUAGGCUUGGAGUUGACAGCUUUCACUACAACUAUAAGUAAUCUGUUAAAUUGUAGCUGUGUUACAACAUAAUUAUAAAGAAGUAUUUGCUGUUAACAAAUGGAGAUUUGGUAUCAGAUAUAACUGUAGGUGAAAGUUUAGGAUCCAGUGAUCAUCAGUCAGUGUGGUUUAAUAUAAGAACAGUGACUGAGUCACACCACACAAAAACAAAAGUUUUAGACUUUAGAAAAAUGGAAUUUUCAAAAAAUUAGAAUAUGUGUAGAGGAGUCAUUAUCAGACUGGAGCAAUUUAAAUGGAGUCCAAGAGAAAUGGGAUUAUUUAAAAGUUGCACUAUUGAAGGCAACAGAAAAUUGCAUUAGGCUUGUCAGUAAAGUAAAAAAUUCAAGAAACCAUUGUGGUACUCCGCAGAUGUGGCCAAAAUAGUUAAAAACAAAAAGUUAGCAUUUAGUAAUUAUAAAAAAACCCAGAGUGAGGAAGACAAAAUGAUCUAUAAGAUUAGGCAGAAAGAAGCUAAGCAAGUUAUACGAGUUUCCAAAUCACACACAGAAGAGAAAAUAGCACAGUCAGUAAAAAAGGGGGACAAAACUAUUUUAAAUACAUAAAUGAGAAAAGAAAAGUAAAACAAGGAUUAGUUAGAUUUAAAACAAAAGAAGGAAGGUAUGUAGAAGAGGAUAAGGGUCUAGCUGACUGCCUCAAUUAAUAUUUUUGUUCUGUAUUUACAGAUGAAAAUGAAGGAAAGGGACCUCAGUUAAGAAAAAGGAUAAAUGAGUCAUUUAUUACACGUGAGUUUACAGAGGAAGAGGUUCUAUUUCAACUGUCAAAAGUAAAGACAAAUAAGUCAAUGGGACCUGAUGGAAUACACCCAAAGCUAUUAAAAGAGCUUAGUGGUGUGCUAGCAAAACCAUUAACAGAUUUAUUUAACCAAUCAUUGUUAACAGGAGUAGUCCCAGAAGAUUGGAAGUUAGCGAAUGUUGUGCCCAUUUACAAGAAAGGUAAUAGGGAGGAGUCAGUCAACUAUAGGCCAGUAAGCCUUACUUCAGUAGUGGGGAAAGUGAUGGAAACCAUGUUAAAGGAUAGGAUUGUUGAACAUCUAAAAACACAUGGAUUUCAAGAUCAGAGACACCAUCGGUUUACUUCAGGGAAAUCAUGCCAAACUAAUUUUGUUGAUUUUUUUGAUUGGGUAACUAAAAUUAUAGAUCAGGGUCGUGCAGUAGACAUUGCUUACCUAGAUUUCAGUAAGGCUUUUGACACUGAAGGCUUAUCAAUAAACUGCAAUCUUUAAGUUUGGAUUCCAAUGUUGUAGAAUGGGUAAGGCAGUGGCUGAUUGAGAGGCAACAGAGGGUUGUAGUUAAUGGAAUAUAUUUGAAGCUUGGACUUAUCACCAGUGGGGUACCUCAGGGAUCUGUACUUGGACCCAUUCUCUUUAGUAAUUUUAUUAGUGAUAUUGCAGAAGGUCUUGAUGGUAAGAUAUGUCUUUUUGCUGAUGACACUAAGAUAUGUAACAGGGUUGAUGUUCCAGGAGGGAUAAGCCAAAUGGCAAAUGAUUUAGGUAAACUAGAAAAAUGGUUAGAAUUGUGGCAACUGACAUUUAAUGUGGAUAAGUGCAAGAUAAUGCAUUUUGGACGUAAAACCCCAAGGGCAGAGUACAGAAUAUUUGAUAGAGAAUAUUUCCUCAACAUCCGAGGAAAGGGAUUUAGGGGUGAUUAUUUCUGAUGACUUAAAGGUAGGCAGACAAUGUAAUAGAGCAGCAUGAAAUGCUAGCAGAAUGCUUGGUUGUAUAGGGAGAGGUAUUAGCAGUAGAAAGAGGGAAGUGCUCAUGCCAUUGUACAGAACACUGGUGAGACCUCACUUGGAGUAUUGUACAUAGUACUGGAGACCGUAUCUUCAGAAGGAUAUUGAUACCUUAGAUAGGGUUCAAAGAAGGGCUACUAAACGCGUUCAUGGAUUGCGGGAUAAAACUUACCAGGAAAGGUUAAAGGAUCUUAACAUGUAUAGCUUGGAGGAAAGACGGGACAGGGGAUAUGAUAGAAACAUUUAAAUACAUAAAGGGAAUCAACACAGUAAAGGUGGAGAUUAUAUUUAAAAGAAGAAAAACUACCACAACAAAAGGACAUAGUCUUAAAUUAGAGGGACAAAGGUUUAAAAAUAAUAUCAGGAAGUAUUACUUUACUGAGAGGGUAGUGGAUGGAUGGAAUAGCCUUCCAGCUGAAGUGGUAGAGGUUAACACAGUAAAGGAGUUUAAGCAUGCAUGGGAUAGGCAUAAGGCUAUCCUAACUAUAAGAUAAGGCGAGGGACUAAUGAAAGUAUUUAGAAAAUUGGGCAGACUAGAUGAGCCAAAUGGUUCUUAUCUGCCGUCACAUUCUACGUUUCUAUGUUUCUAUUUUUCGAUGAGCUUUUCAAAUGAUUAAAUAAUUUUGAUAAACAUUUAAAAUAUUCUUUUGGAAAAUUAAAAUAUCAAAAAUAUAUCAUAAAUAUAUCAAUAAAUAAAAAAAAUCUAAAUUCUGAAACAUUAUCCUAAAAUAUUAAAUCAAGACCUAUAUUUGAAAUAUUAAUUGGCUCUGUCAUUCAUUAUUCAUAAUUUAAAUCUUUAAACUCUCUACAAAUUCUGAUUUUGGAAAUAUUUGUCAAAUCCUAUCUUUUUUAUUUGUUUGUGUGCUUAUGCCCUGCAUUUGACAAAUUUGUAUUUAUUUGGUAUAAAAAAAUAACAUUAAUUGUAGAAGUGCACACAUUUUUAAAUUGGCCACCUGUGAAUUCCUCCAAAUUAUUUGUAUAAGCUAUGUCCUUAGCAUUGGCAGUCAAUAUAGAAAAAAACAGACAGGGAAAGGAGAAAUUAAGCUAUUGUGGACAUUUUUUAAACAGUUCUGAUGCAAAAAUUAUCUAAAGUGGGUCAAUCACCAUGGAAACUAGUGGAAGCAGCAAUGUGUCUAUAUCUCCUCCUAAUUUGCAAAGUCUGCCAUAGCUGUGCUAGGACUAGAUUGUAUUGGGAUUUUUAAUAGUUUAUAUCAUGGUAAAAUUGCAGAGACAUUGUGCAUUCUAUGGUUGUGAAAUCAGAGAAAAUACAAUUCAUGGGAUUAAGGGUGGCAUCCUUUAAUGUAUUGUCAUUUUAUUUCUUUAUCUAUAGUUGUAUUUGUUUAUUUAUGGGGCAGAUAUUUCUGCCUUUUCUUGUUAUGACAAAUUAAGCCUGACCAUGCCAUAUAUUAAGCCAUAUAUAAUUCUCCACUAAAAAACUAUAUCCUUCAUUAUUUCCAUUACGAGCCAUUACUAGAAGCAUACCUUGCAGUAAAUUCAAUAUUCUGUGUGUGUCUACAAACAGUUUGGUUAGAACUAGGAAACAUCAAUAAUGUUUGUAAUUGAAACAACCUUGACACAGAGAAAUAUAUUUUCUAUAAUGGCAGAUUUUGAUUAUGUUAGUUGAAUCCAUACCUACUGCAUCCUAUUGGUACUUCAAUCUAUUUUCUGUCUCACGCCUCCUAUUUCUUUCCUCUGUGUACCAGAUCUCUUUUCCCCUCAUUUCUCUCUGCUAAGCCAUUGUUGUAUCUUGGCUUGUCUUUUUCAUUAGUGCUGAAGCUUUUAAAACGGAUGAAAAAAAUACAGAAAUCUUGUAGGAGCUUAUUUCUAAAUUUGUUUCCGCAUAUGUGUAAAAUAGCUCCAUUAAUUCUCGUAUUCACAUUUCCCUUAAUGUAGUAUUAAUUGUGUCUCAUUCACACACUAUUGGGUACAUCCUGCAAAAAGUACUUAACACAUGAAAGAAUAAAGCGCUACAGUAAUUCUUGGCACUAAUAACUGCUUUCCAGGAAAGUAGCCCUCAUUAGAUCCUGGCGAAAUAACUUAUACCACCUGUGUGAAACAAUAAACUGAAAAUGAGUGUAAAGCGAUAGCUGUUUAUUGAAUUGAUUUACACCGAAUAAUUAAAGUGGCUCUGUCACUACAAUAGAAUUUCUCAGUAUUUCAUAAAGAGAAAAUUUUAUAAAAUACUCAUUUUGAUUGGCUUUGAAAUUCCAACACAAUCAAAACAUAUCAUAUGUGACAACGUUAGAACGACUUUAUCAUGUGGUCCAGCAUUAAACUUGACAAAAUCUAAGAAAAGUCAGAGCUUCUGCCAUCAUGUGUGUGACUAGCCACCAUUUCUAGUGUGUAAAUGUUGCAGAAGUUUUGUAAUGUUCUAAAUGGCAAAUGAAUUAUUAUAUCCUACUAACCAAAGUUGCUUAAUCAGAUGUGCGAGGUAGAAAAAUGUGGCUUUCUUUUGGCCUUAUUGCAUGAGAUGUGUCUCUAAUUCUUAAAACUAAGGAUAUGUAGCAAACUCCCUUAACUAGUGUUAGCAGAUCUAAAAAAGGAGUGUAUGUUAAAAACUUGUAUUGGAAAAAAUAUAUUUUCAGAAAAUAGCAGCUACUACACUGAAUGUGCAAACCUCCAAAAACACACAAAAAUGUGAAAACUAGAUGUAAAACAGUGGAGAGUUAUAUGCUUCUAAAGUGCAACCAAUGUGCACAAAAAUUGAUAACUUAACUGGAAUAGACCUUCUGUGAUGUACCAGCGACUAUACCUUUAAAAAAGAAAUAUGUGCAAAAUAGUGUAGAACAUUAAUAUAUAUAUAUGUUAAAACACAAAAUCUAAUAUGGAACACUAACAUUGUCCAGAGCUAAUCAACCUAGCUCUAACCUUUGGGUCCUUUUGGGCGACCUUUCACCUCUCUUGUAUCUGUUCUUUAAAUAGAUCCCUUUUUUUCAAUGGUAUAUAAGCUUUCAGCCUAAAUCCUGGAUCAGUUCUGGGACUUUGUGUGGUUAAGGACCACACCACCUUCUUUUAGAAGUGCAGUGUAACAAAGCUUCCUGUACUCCGGUUGGGUACCUCCGCCAACGGAUGCUCCUAGUGCUCACCGAGGACUCCAAGCACUCCACCAAACGCCAUCAGCACUGCAGUCCCCACAUCCAGUGUUACAGCUUGGCUGGGAACUUGCUGUCCUCUACCCACCCUGGACCUACUACAAGGCUCAAGGUUCCAGUGGGUGAACCUCUCCUCCAAGAGAGAGUAGCAGGAACAAGCUCUUAAAAGAGCUUAGUGAUUAUAAUCCCUGGGCAGUAUAGUGAUAUAGCAAUCCCCAGGGUAGAUGUAGCCUUUCCCCCUACACAUAAGGCGAGGCUCUAUGUUGAGGGUAAAACAGGAACUCAGCAGAUCUCAGUGUUUAUUGAACAGCUUGGUCUUUUAUACAGUUUUCCCUACAAGGUUACCACCCAGGUGGACCUUGUGGGGCACAGGAACACAGGAACAACAAGCCAAUAAAAACAUAGUUUUACAUUUAGUCACUCCCAUACACUGUACACAAUCCCUCCCCUCUGCCUGUGAUAUAAUUAACAAAAACAAUGGACUAACUCAAUUAAAGGACCACUAUAGUGCCAGGAAAACAUACUCGUUUUCCUGGCACUAUAGUGACCUGCUCUGGAAGGGGGAAAGGGGUUUAAACUUACCUUUUUCCAGCGCUGAGCGGGGAGCUCUCCUCCUCCGUUCUGCCCCGUCGGCUGAAUGCGCACGCGCGGCAAGAGCUGCGCGCGCAUUCAGCCGGUCGCAUAGGAAAGCAUUUACAAUGCUUUCCUAUGGACGCUGGCGUGCUCUCACUGUGAAAAUCACAGUGAGAAGCACGCAAGCGCCUCUAGUGGCCGUCAAUGAGACAGCCACUAGAGGAUUAGGGGGAAGGCUUAACCCAUUAAUAAACAUAGCAGUUUCUCUGAAACUGCUAUGUUUAUUAAAAAAUGGGUUAACCCUAGCUGGACCAGGCACCCAGACCACUUCAUUAAGCUGAAGUGGUCUGGGUGCCUAGAGUGGUCCUUUAAUUCUAAGCAGAAAAAACAUACAUUUUUACAACCCCCAAAAUACAACAUAUCCUCAGGUAAUAUAUUCCAACACACAUACAAAUGAAAAGGAGAGUUAUAUCAAUAUCAUAUUCUUUAAAGUAGAGUUCACAAAUCUAUGGUAAUGCAUUCCAAAUUGCGUUCCACUGCUGGUACAAUUACGUUUUUAAUCCUCAGUGUAUUUAAUUGUCCUCAAACAUAUUCCAACACACAUACAAAUGAAAAGGAGAUAUAUAUCAAUAUUAAAUUCUUUAAAAUAUGCAUUUAGGGGGGCGGAACCUGCUAGCCAACCAGACAUUUCUGCCUGCUCCAAAGCAAACCCUUCUAAUCCCACUAAUAUCAGCCAGCCUGAUCCUGAGACCUACUCCACACAGGCCCAAACCUGCAGAAGUUCCACAAGUAGAGGCACCUGACCCGAACCCGACUCAGGGGCAUCAGGAGACCCCAGAGCCUCUCCCACGGGACUCCUCAGAUGACUCAGCCCCAACCACCAAUCACCUGAAAGUCUUGCUGGCAGACAUACACAAUCUGUCUAAACUGGAGCAUUUUUGCAACAGAUCCAGACCAUCCAGCAGACCUUCACACAAAGGCUUGCAGCGUGGCUUGUGAUGUCAUACUCAGAUUUCUCACCAUUCAAGACAAAAUCCAGAUCAUGUCAGCGCUGAGGAGCAAGACACCCCUCGCUUUUGAAAGCUCCACGCUCACGUUCUAUCAAUUGCUUUCAAUGCGGUCACUGCCCAACUUCGCACUGCAAAUAAGGCUUAUAAGUGGGGAGCAAACUGCUCUGUGAUAGUAACCCACACUGGGACUUCUCACACUUUAUUAUCGAUGAAGGAGGUUUCGACGUUCCUACACAACAUAGGUGCAUUAUCAUUGACGAAAAUGUCAUGCUUACUCCUGCUUAUAUGUAUUAUGACUUUCUCUCAUGUUAUCAUUUAGAUGAACAUUUUAAAAGAAAAGGAUAGAAAAUAGAAUAUUUAUAAUAAAUUUUGCAGUGUACCUAUGCUGAUAUGGGAUACCUCUUUAUCGUAAUUAUAAAGUAAUAAUAGAUAAAAUUGGUAGAACUGCCGAAAACCGGAUAUGAUGCAAUGCGGCCUAACCCGGAAAUGAGGUUGCAUCAAACAAAGAACCAGAAAGAGGCUUGGAAUGCAAUUAAACCAGCUGGAAGACAUCAGAAUCAGCAGAAGGUAUACAAAUAGGACAGCAGGGACUGGGAAGUCUAUUACACCAGAUUGAAGAAGUCAACAAACGGAUGAUACAAAGACUUUACAUUGGUAUUUUAUAUUAAAUUAAUUUUGUUUUAAAUAUUAUAAUAAAGUGAUUUUUAAAUACCAUUACCUGAGUUCCUCCACUUCAAAAAGAAGGUGGUGUGGACCUUAAUCACACAAAGCCCCUGUACUGAGCCAAAACUUUUUUCAGCAUUCAAGACAGCACCCUGCUUAUCAUUUCCUUCUAAGUCAACAACACGGCCAUGUGGUUUUCAGAUUUUUAAACAAGAAAGUACUUUAAAGGGACAGGGGGUACAUGACACUCGAAUCACUUCAUUCUGUAGAAUCUAUUCAAAAACAGGACAAAACACAUAGAGUGGAAGAAAGAAGAUUUAAUCUAAGGCAAAUUAAAAGAUUUUUUACAGUAAGAACAAUAAGGAUGUAGAAUUCUAUGCCUGAGAGUCCAUACAGAUGUUUAAACAGCAAUUGAAUAUAUACUUUCAAAGCCAUAAUAUACUGGGAUACAAUUUUUAAUAUAUGAAGUAAUAGCUUCUUGAUCCAAGGAGACAUCUUACUGCCAUUCUAGGGUCAAGAACUAUUUAUUUCCUAGUUUGUUUCAAAAUUAGAAAUGCUUGAAACUGGGUUUUUUGCCUCUGUUGCAACUAUAUCUUUUUUUGUUAUAAUCCAAUGCAAAAUAAAAUAAUGUUCUAUCAUUAUGAAAAAAGAAGUGGCAGUGCCACUUUAAAGGAACACUUUAGUGAUAGGAAUACAAAAUACACUAAAUAUACACAAAAGAAUACACUAAAAUGUUCCUCUGCUUCCUCUCCCUCGUACCCUCCUCCCCCACCUGUGGCAAUCAAAGGGUUAAAUAACUGCUGAAUUCACUCAAGGUAUUCCAGCACCAAAGUCCCUCUGAUCUGGAUCCAUCUUCACCUCCUCAGAUAUCAUCUUUAAAGGGAUACUUAAUGCGCAUGCUUGGCAAUCGACAUUAGGCCUUCCCCAUUGAAUUAAUGCACUCUAAUUGGGAUUGAAAGAUGCUGGACAUCUUUAGGACAUCUAGCAAUAUUUCAUUGAGUCAAACUCCCUGAAACAGCAGGAAAUGCUCCUGGUUGUUGAGUAGAAGAUUGCAGGGUUAAGAGGAUAAGGACCACAUAAUGAGAUGAAGUCAUCUGGUUUCCCAUCAUAUCCCUUUAAACACCUCAAUUUAAAUAAAUUAAAUUUAGAUUUAAAUAAAAUCCUGCUACAUAUUUUUCUGAGAUGCUAAUCGUGUUUCUUAUUUUAAUUAGCACAAUAACUUGAAAUAAAGCUAAAAUCACACACACAAAAAAAAACAUUAUCUUGUAUUGUCAUGACUGCAUCAAGCUUAUGUUUGCACAAAACAAAAUCUUAUAUUUAUUAGAAUAAUGUGUUGUUUAGAGCAUCUGUGAAAGAAAAUGUGUACACUAAAAAGACGCGAGAAAACAAACAUACAAAAUACAAAACACAGUUGGAAAACUUCUCAGUAUUCAAGAAAUGUUACAUUUAAUUCAAACGUGCCAUGGCUUUGUAAUGGUUGCAUUUAUUCAGCUGGGGCUUGCUAUCAUUUUCUUCAGUAAUUCCAACAGAUAGAAUACAGUCAUUACAAGAGACUCACAUGAGUUUAAUGUUAGCCUUCUUAAGCUUAAGUUAUGUUUGAACAUUUUCUGCUCCUGGGGUGAUUGGAAAUAAUAGCAAAUGUAUCAUAUGCACAAUAGUUUUUUUUAUGACAGUUAAGAAAUCAUCCUCAAACAGAAUGUCUUCAUUACAAUCCAAUGAUGAUUUUGGUAUACCAAUAUAUUGCUAUCCUCCCCAGCACUCCUCAUCCAUCUUUUUUAAAUAAAGUCUGCUUCAAAGAAUGAAAACAGGGAAGUUAUAAUAGUAGCUUGGAGUUAUAGUUUUGCCUAAUAAGAUGUUAUGCUACUGGGAGACCUAGAUAUUUGUAAUAUAAAACAGAUCAUUCACAAUAGAAAAUGCCACUGUUGCAGCAGAAGGAUCUUAAACGUGCUUAUUAAACUAAUAUGGCUGGACUAUUGCUAUUUUUGUAAUGUAAUAAUGAUUCAUGAUAUUAUAUAUUAAACAAUAUUACAGUUUAGGCAAUCUCUGUUCAACAGAUUGCAUAAAAACUCAUAACUUUCUUAGCCAGUAACUCAAUAACUAUUACUAAGUAACUAAACAAUUUCUGGGCAGUUGGGUUGUAAUCAGGAUAGUACCCUAAUGACUUAUGCAGGAAAUUGUUGAUAAAUCAAUUAAUUCAUUCAUUCAUAUAAAUGAGCAAAAGAAAAGCAUUGCUUAUUAAAAUAUUACCUUGAAGCGAACCAUACAAAACCUAGACACACAAAUAAAAAAGGAGAUCUUACAAAAUGUAGCAGUAAUUUGUGUGUAUUUAUAUGUUUUCUAAUAUUUAUAAUUAAACAGUAAGUAUACAAACAAGAUACACAAUAUAAAUAAAGAACUAAUCAUGAAAUAAUCUAAAAAUGGAACUGAUUUAUCUUAAGUCUAGUUUGUUUAAGUUGGUAAAUAAACAAGAUUCAAACCAAGGUUAGAGUCUGACACGAAUGUUGGUGAAAUAAUAUCAAUCUAUUAUAGAGCACCUCCCAGAAUUUCAGUGCUGAUAACACCAUUAAAUGUUGCACUACAAUCGCAUCUUCUGUUGUACAAGAUGCAUACUUUCCUUUUCUUAUUGAAAUUCUUAGUUUCUGCCCACGGUUUGCAUUGUUUAUCUAGAAGGUUAAAGUUCAAAUAAAAAAAACAACUGAAAGUUGCAUCUAGUUAAAAUCUGUAACAACAUCAAUCGUAUAUAUCCUUUCUCUAUUUUUUCACAUAUGUGGUGGGUAAUCCAGUAAUGAGUAUAUGGGCGCAUGCUAUUUAGCCUUGAGUUAGAGAGCCUUAAAAACUAUUUAACAAAAUCCUCAGUUUAACUCCUUUAGCUAGUUCACAAGUGGUUUGGGGUUUGUUCCUUGUAUGCUUGAGCUGUACUAUUCUUCUCUUAUAUAUUACCUCAUAAAUUAUCCUGCACUUAAUCUAUUAAUUGAAGCAAACUGAUUUUGUAAGAGAUCCAUGCCCCAAGAAAUAUUAAACUCAUCGCCCUCACACGAAAGCAACACCAUCAUUAUUUUGUAGUUCCAGAGGCUUGUCUCAAGUCAUUAUUGUUAUUAUUAUGAUAUUUAUAGAGCGCCGUCAAAUUCCGCAGCGCUUUACAAUGGGUGGAAGAACAGACAUGUAGUUGUAACCAGACAAGUUGGACACACAGGAACAGAGGGGUUGAGGGCCCUGCUCAAUGAACUUACAUGCUAGAGGGAGUGGGGUAAAAUGAUACAAAAAGUUAAGGAUAGUAUUAGACUAGUGACAGUUGCAGAAGAGGAAUCAGUCAGGAGCUAUUAACAGUUUAAUUGAUACGCUUUUAUGAAGAAGUGGGUUUUUAAAGAUUUUUUGAAGGAGUGGAGACUGAGUGAACAUCUAAUGGAGGAGGGAAGCGAGUUCCACAGGAACGGUGCAGUCCUGGAAAAGUCUUGAAGGCGAGCAUCAGAAGUGGGAGUAUGGACAGAAGAUAGACGUAAGUCUUCAGCAGAUCGUAAGGGCCUAGACGGGACAUACUUGUGUAUAAGUGAGGAUAGAUAGGUGGGAGCAGCAUUAUGUAGAGAUUUGAAAGCAAGAGUCAGAAUUUUAAAUUGAACUCUAUAUUUUAUAGGAAGCCAAUGUAGGGACUGACAGAAGGGUGAGGCAUGGGAGGUGCGGGUGGACAGGAAAAUGAGCCUCGCCGCUGCAUUCAUUAUGGACUGUAAAGGCGCAAGUUGGGAGCACGUAAGUCAUGACAUAAGCUAGCUAUAUACCUAUAUGAACAAAACUUAUCGACUCUUCAAUGUUUGGAAUUAUAAUAUUUGAGGUACUCUAUAUAACACUUCCUAUGAAAACUAAAAUGUACGUUCAUGCAUAUUCUGAAUGCUUAAUUGUAAAUACAUGCAUUCCUAAUCAGUGUAAUUUUAAAAAAAAAAACUCACAAAAAGGUACACUCAGGAACAAAAUAACCGUGUCUAGGAGGCUCCAAGGAAGGGGGGGUGGGGGGGUGGGGAGGGAGGGGUUACCCAAGGUAAUUCAAUUAGAUUACAUAAUAGACAAAUAGGCCCGAAAAGGGCAUAUGAGUUAAACAAUGGAGAUCCCUCUAAUAUAAAAUAAUGGUAGACCAACUUUAGUAGAAUAUGCAACAAUUAGAAAAAUUAGAGUAAGAGACAAUACAUAUGCACAUUAAAAAGCCAUGAGACUGUAGUGCAUGGUAGGGGUUAAACACUGGGUUUAGAUUUAAGAAGGUACAUAUAAACCAAUCAUUUCACAGAAGAAAAAAAUCAGGUGAAUUGCUGUGAAAUGGUUGGUUCAUAUGUGCCUUAUUCAUUUUAUUUAAUAAUUUUUUUUUUUUUAUUUAAUACAUUAUUUUUUAUUUAAUAAAUUAUUUUCUGGCUAUCAAUGUAUUGCAAUUGUGUAUUUUUCAUUGAUGUUUAUUAUUUUAUAUUAUGUGACUAAUACAUUCUUAAAUAGGUUCAUAAAGCAUUCUGUUUGGAUCUGUUAAAUACAUAGAGUGCACUGUUUGGUGUGUUUGUAGAUUCACAGUUGUUCACAAUCUAAUGGUUCAUUUUCCAAUGAUGCCCAUGGAGGAUUAUCCCUCUGAGAGAGCAUAGUAAAUCUUAAUGCUAUCCUCCUCUGACUUCCUACUUUUUUUCUCUCCUAUAAUUUCCUUUCCGCGACCUUUUAUCAUCUACUUUAUCACUAAAUUUGAUUCCUGAAAUAUGAUAUAUAUUACACUGGCUGCACGUACAAUAUCUACAUUGUACUUCAUAUAUUAUAUAUCAUACUUGGGGAAUGUUUCCAGUAUGUCUUAUUGUUACGAGCUCUGGUAUUUCAGAUACCCAUUUGUACGCUUUCUCCUGAAGUGCUAGAGGCAGAGUGAUUAUAGCUUGCAGUUCCUAGGUCACAAUGACUCGGCAUAAAAUAUAAAAUAUAGAAAUUACAGAAUAAUACAUAAAUAACAUAUAGGAACCCCCAUAAAUGUUUUAUCCCUGGAUAGUUUGGAUCUGAGUGCCCAAGUUGGCCAAAUAGUGCUCAGAUCCCACAAACACAGCCGAAUCGCCAAAGGGGUAAAGUUUUGGCUGACCGCUCAUGAGGCUCCUGCACAAAACAGUUCCACAGUUUCAGGGGUAGCAGUCGGUCCAUUUCGGGGGUUCCAAACCGAACCAACACACGUAUUGUCCAUUCUCUAUAAGUGUCUUAUGAUUAAUCACCACAUUCUCUAGAUAACAAGAUUGUUUGCUACAAUAAUUAGGACUUAGGGAGAUUAUUUAUUCUUUGUAUUCCAGAUGGACGGCUAGAUAGUGAAUAGAAAAUCCUGCAGAAUAUGGAUUGGCUAUUUACAAUAUAUCAAAGUACAAUGUUUGUGAGGGCAAUUACAAUUUCAACACAUUUUGCAUUCAGCUUGUCCAUCCGUAUGUUCUUAGGCAACCAAGGAAAUUGGCAUCUUGAAUACAUGAUAAGCAUGCCACUGCUGUACCGUCAAUCAAAUGCAGUAUCCAUCUCUGCCAUUGAUUGACAUAGUAUAUAUUUGAGACAUGAGUGCAGAGAAGCUGAAAAGUAUAUCCUUUAAAUGUAAAAUCAAAAUAAUAAUAGCAUGAAAAGAGGGAGCAAUGGUAAAGAUUUAUUUUUUAGUUGUGUUGCAUUUUAAACAGCUUUAUAGUUGUGUUUGAAACUUUUUAACCAGAAGAACAUUGAAGGUUUCAUGAAAUUUUGUUUUUGUAAAUUUAUAAAUAUCCUUAAAUUCUAAAGAAUAGACUGGAUUUGCCUGGAUUCUUUGCCGGAAUUUUGGCAGAUUGGCAGGUAGUCCAAAUUCCAUAAAUCCUAAGAACCAUAUGAAUAUAUCAUUAAAAAAAUGACACGCACAAUGGCAGAAUGAGAUGAAUUUAGGUCAUUUGAAUUCUGACCAGAAUUAGCUUCAUUUAAAGGUCACAGAAAUGAGCAGUACUUUACUGCUCUACAUCUUGAUAAAACUUAACUGUGUGAUUAAAAUGUUGAUCUUAUAAAUAAAGCAGGAUGAUUUUCAUGAUAAAGACAUAUGAGUGCUCUCUUCAUUUGGUGAAUGCAUAGCUUGGUCGAAAUUUAAGCACAUAGGCCUUGCUAAAAGUAAGUAUUUAUGUAUUGAUCAGCCACAACAUGAAACCCAAUGACAGGUAAAAUUAAUAACAUUUGAUUUUAUUGUUACAAUGGCACUUGAUAAUGGGUGGGAUAUAUUAGGCAGCAAGUGAACAGUCAGUUUUUGAAUUUUAAUGUGUUGGAAGCAGGAAAAAUAGGCAAAUGAAAAAAUUUGAGUGACUUUGACAAGAGCCAAAUAGUGAUAUCUAGAUGACUUGGUCGAAGCAUCUCCCAAACAGUACUUUUGGGGGGUAAUGCAGUGGUUAGUACCUACCAAAAGUGGUGCAAGGAAAAAUAACCAGUGAACUGGUGUCAGGAUCAUGGGUGCCCAAGGCUCACUGAUGCACAUGGGGAAAGAUGGCUUGCCAGUCUGGUCCGAUCAUAUCAUACUGUAGCUCAAAAUGCUAAAAAAACAAACCUUUAUGCUGGCCAUUAUAGAAAGGUGUCAGAACAAAAAGUGCCUCACAGUUGGCUGUGCAUGGGGCUGCAUAGCCACAGAGAGUCAAAGUGCCCAUGAAGACCCUUCUCCACUAACAAAAGAGCCUUAAAUGGUGACAUGAGCAUCAGAAACUGAAUCAUGGAGCAGUGGAACAAGAUUGCCUGGACUGACAAAUCAUGUUUUCUUUUUGAUUCUGUGUAGGGGUGGAUACAUGUGCGUCAUUUACAUAAGGAAGAAAUGGCAGCAGGAUGCACAUUGGUAGAAGGUAGGACAGUGGAAGCAGUGUUUUGCUCUGGGCAAUGUUACUUUUAUAUUACUAUAUAGUUUGAUUAUUUAUCAUUAUUUAUGUCAGUGCCAUAUUGUACUUGUUUGCUUAUAUAUAGUGUUAUGCUCUGGGCAAUGUUCUGCUGAGAAACCUUGAGUCCUGGCAUUUAUGUGGAUAUUACUUUGACACAAACCACCUACCUAGAGAUUGUUGCAAACCACAAAAACCUCUUAAUGGCAAUGGUGUUCCCUGGUGGCAGUGGACUCUUGAGAAUGAUUAUGCACCACUGCAAAAGGUGUUCAGGAAUGGUUUGAGGAACAUGAUAAUGAGUUCAAGGUGUUGCCUUGCCCUUCAAUCUUAAUUCGAUUGAGCAUCUGUGGAAUGUGCUGGAACAGCAAACCUAUUCCACGCCACCUCGCAACUUGCAGGACUUAAAGGAUCUUCUGCUAAUGUCAUUGUGCCAGGUACCACAGGAAACAUUCAGAGGUCUUGUGGUGUCCAUGCAUCAAUGCACCAGAGCUGUUCUGGCAGCACCAGGGGGAUCUACAUGAUAUUAGACAGGUGGUUUCAAUGUUAUGGCUGAUCAGUAUAUACAUAUAUUAUUGUAUAUUAUGCUUUGUUUAGUACUGUGAUAGGUUUAUUUUUCACACCUUUUUCCAAAUAGUUUAAGUAUAAAAAUAUAGUUGUAUCAAGUUUGUUAGUAAAAUAUUAGAAACAUACAUUAAUUUAUUUUAUUUGUAAAAUAUUUUACCAUGAAAGAUACAUUGAGAUUUCUCUCAUUUUCAAUUAUGUCGUGGGUCCACAAAACAUUGCAUUGAUACAUUAUGGUACAAUAAAAUACAAAAACAAUAUUAAUACACAAUAUAUACAAAAUUUAACAUAGUACAGGUAGAAAAUAUAUAAUCAACCAUGACAGGUGCAUUCUGUUUUGAAGUAUGUAGAGAGGGAUCUCUUAAAGGACUUAGGCUUGGGGAAGAUUUUAAAGUAUGCAGGAGGUCGUUCCACAAUUGCAGCACUCUGUAGGAGAAGGAGGAUCGGGCUGCUUUCUUUUGUAUUGAGGUAGACUAAAUAAAGUGCUGGUACUAGAUCAGAUGUUAUAGGAGGUGGGAACAGCCGGGGAGAGCAUUCUGCUCAGCUAGGGUGGGAGCUUCCCAGAAAAGCUCUUAAACACAAGGCUGGAAAGAUGAAGGGUGCGUCUGGAUUCCAGCUACAGCCAGUUUAGUUCUUUUAGCAUGUCACAAUGGUGGGUCCUGUAAUUACAUCGUAGCACAAAUCGGCAGAACGAGUUAUACAAUGUAUUGAGUUUAUUAAUGUGGGAUUGCGGUGCAGAUGCAUACACUACAUCCCCAUAAUCAAUAAUUGGCAUCAGCAUUUUUUGUACAAUCUUUUCCUUUACUGUAGCGCUUAGGCAGGAUUUGUUUCUGUACAGGGCACCUAGUUUAGGAUAAAGUUUAGAUGCAAGUUUUUCUAUAUGUAGGCCAAAAGAUAGCUUGGGGUCUAACAACAUACCCAAGUAUUUGAAAGAGUGGACUGCGGUCAGUGUGCUAUUUUAAUUUGUUUUGAUGGAUAGGUUGGAAUUGUGUAAUUUGUGUAAUUUAGGUAAUGUUCCAAAGAUCAUUUGGACAGUUUUGUCAGUGUUUAGGAAGAGUUUGUUUUUUGCAAUCCACUUUUAUACCUCUGUGUCUUGGAGCACAGCCUCAAGCUGCGGUAGAUCGGAUUUGCUUGCAUAGAUUACGGUGUCAUCUGCAUACAUGUGUACAUUUUAGGAUUUGCAGACAUUAGGAAGAUCAUUUAUAAAUAAUGUAAAUAGUAGUGGGCCAAGAAUGGAACCUUGAAGAACACCACACGUGACUGGGAGAGGGAGGGAGUCACUGUCAGAAAUGGACACAUAUUGCGAGCAAUCUGGUACAUACUAUCAAAACCAGGUUAGCAGACAAUCACCAAUACCUGAGUUUUUGAGUUUGUGCAGUAGAAUGUUGUGGUCUACUGUGUCAAAUGCCUUUGCAAAAUCAAGGAAAAUAGUUCCAGUUAGGUCUCUGUGUUCUAUGCCAGUUUGGAUGUCAUUUCAAAUUUUUAAGAGGGCAGUUGUAGUGGAGUGAUUUAAUAAGUUAAGAGCAAUAUCUGUUCAUGUUUACCUUUGGCAGGGCCAACCUUAACAUUUUUGUGGAUUUCAGGACAAAAUACCCAAAGGGGCACCCUUUUCCAUCAGAGAUUAAAUAUAGUGUAGAAAUUGUUACAGAUAGUCAUAAAGAAAGAUCAGUUAUAUAUUAGAAAUCAACAAAUGUAUUUUCACACAUUAGUGGAUGAUAAAUGCAUUGUGGCUUUAAUUCUCAUGUUAAACCUUAAGGAAGAAAACACAUAGAAAAGUUUUACAUUUUCUCUAUUUAUCUUUCAACCUUGCUCUUAUUUCUUGGAUGCCUAGCUUUGUUAUAUAGAAACUAAAAAAUCAUUAUGCUGGAUUUAUUUAAUUGUUUAUAUUGUUUGUCUUUCUCGUGAAAAAUCAAUAAACUGUAAAUUGGAAAACCUUUAUGUUGGUUACUUUUGAGAACUGAUCUUGGGGAGUCCUGCUAAAGACCUUGAUGUAUUAAGUUAACAUUGUAAGUACUUCUCUCAUUGCUGUACUAACAAAUAUCCAGGAUUCUAGCGAUAUAGCAUGCAUUCCACAAUGAAUUCCCAUCAUAUUUCACAAAUAUUUGUAGAAAAUACUUUUCUUCUUUCAGUUUUAUCUUUUAUAUUAGAUUUUUGUUUGAAGACACAUUAAGUGUAAUGUAAUCAUUGUUCCUGCUUUGGAAAUAUACUCCAGUAGAUGUUGCCAAAUUAAUGUGCAAACAAAUUGGCACAUAAUUGUCAUUUAAUCUUAUAACUGUUCCAAAGGCAGUAGGUAGCAACGUAACUGCAUCAUUUAUUUGUAGAGAAUGAAGCAUUGCUGUUAGGCUAUAGCUUAUCAUGGCAUUUUUGUUUCUGGGCUAGGGAGCAGAAUAUUUUAAUUAGGACAGAAUUUUUCCAUGUAAAUUUGAUUAAAAUGUAUUGCAUAUUUAAAUCAGCAUCUACAGCUUAGAUCUAUGGCGAAUGCCUUUGCAUACAUUUUCUGGGGGCUAGUUAAAUGAUCCUUAACAUUACUGCAUAUCAUUAACAUUGAAGAUCAUAAACCCCUUUGAAAAGUAUGCUCUUUGGGUAUUUUAUUAUUUUAGAAGUCAGGAAUUUUCAUUGAAUAGGUGGAUUUUCCUGAGGACUUUAGUAGCUCCCAUAUUCUGCUUUUCAAAUAAGAUUUAGUUAAUUUACAAAUAUGUAACAUUACUGAAACAUCUACUGCAUUGAUGCAAUGGGAGAUCCCACUUGGAAAUGUUUAAAUUAAUCAAUAGACUUAUAUUUUAAUGGAAUUCAUCCCAAUUUUUGUGGUUGUCAGGUUGUACUAAUUCUGUUACUGUGACCGAAGCAGAGAACAACAGAAACAGGCAAUGGACAAGUGGGUUUGGUUGAUCAGUGAUUCCGAGUUCCAUCUGUGGCACCAUAAAAUUAAUUAAAUGAUUGUUAGGGGACAGCCACAAAAUCAAAUCAAAUAAAAUCAAAUAAAUAAUCAAAUCAAAUAAAUAAAUAUAUAUAUGAACCAGGUAUCAGCCGUACCAAAAGGUUAACAUUUGCAACCCAAUGCUCAAAAGUAACCAAAUGCUCAAAUGAAAGAAUGCUGGGUGAAUGUGUCCACAUUUAAAUGGUAAAAUAUAAUUCUAAUUAGUCAGAAUUCAGCAGGAAUUCAGUUGACUGAAUUUCGACUUGCUAGAAAUAAGAAUUACCAUAUAUACAUUUGCCAAAUAUUUUUUUCUGAAUCAUUUGCAUGAGCGAAAUGCAGAUGAGCUGUAAUGCCAUAUGGAUGAAUUUGUUAGCCCAAACUUAAUUUUUCCCCAAUACACAAGUCUAUUAUUCAAGGCAAAAAAAAAGGACUUGGAAACCAGGAAGCUCAAACCACUGUGCUGCGAAAUACAAAAGAAUUUAAAGAUCAAAUGAAAAAACUGAAGGUGAGGUAAAGAAAAAGUCACCCAUUACCCCUUUGGGACUCCAAAAAUAAACAAAAAAAUAAUGCCAGAAGAAUCAAGUGCUCCAAAUCCAAAAGCAAAAGUUUAUUCCACAAGGUACAUACACAAACAGGGGAAAACAACAGCCAAAGAAAAAUUUUCUUUACAUGCGUUGGACUACCCAGUCCAGCCCAUAGGAGUAUUAUUCAAGGCAAGUCACAUUGUGGUGAAUGCGUCUACUAAUUUUUUAUGCUAAAUGUGAUCCUGGUAUGCAGGCUGCAAUCAAAAUAACACUAGACACAGAGAAUGAUUUAGCAGUGAUUAAAAAGUCCAUGAGGUUGUUGCUUACAACAAACAUUCCCAGUAAAAUGUCUAUGAUGUAGCUCUGAAGGUGCCCAUCAAACUUGACCAACACUUUAAAAUGAUGCAGAGCACUUCCACAGUUAUCAUGUGACCAUAGUAUCAUGACCCAUGCUGUAAUAUUUCAUCCAACAAUGUGUUACUGAAUCUAAACCCAAAAUAUGGAAAUACUCUUGCUGAUAUGGUCCAAUAUUGGCAAAUUCAGAAAAAACUGGAGCUCUCAGUAUUGUUAGUGAGGAUAGAUUCAGGAUCAAGAUACACUAAAAAAUAGUCGUUCCUAUGCCUGGAGCCAGCAUUAUUAAAGAUGAAGCAGAGAAAGCUGGUUUAAGAGUUUCUAAGCUUUACAAUUCAAACAUCAAAAUGAAGACACCAAGGGAGCAUUGGUUUCGAUGACCUCUGAUGAUUAGCUAGCUAUGCUUUUAUUGCAGCACAUUUGAUGUUAUAAUAGUUAAAUCCUAUCCCUACUCUUUAAAGUGUAAUAUAUAAACUCUUUUCUAUUCUUCUCACAUUCGUUGCCAGGUAAAUCUGUUGAAAUAUUCCUGUUAACUAAAGUCCCUUCCAGUGUUCAUCAGAGAUCCUGAGAUUAAGAAUUACUUUGUUUUCAUUGGAAUUUCAACUAAAUAUCAUUAAAAUGCAUAACUUGAUGUGGGUAGUUAUUACUAUAUUUACUAAAACAUUGCAUAGUUAUAGAAAUUAAUAAAAAACUGUUUAGAAUAGUGUUCAAAAUAAUUUAUAAAGAGAAAACGAAAUUAAAAGGCUGUGUUGCUUUAACUACUGUACCAUUUUGUCUGGUAUUUUGUACCUCUUCUAAUAUGACUUGAAACUGGAUGAAAGCAAAUAAGUACCAUUAUCAUGAGUUUAUUUUAGUUUUCCAGAACCUGUUUUGUAAACUGAUCACUAAAGCAUUCUUUAAGGAGUUUUUUUAUGUUUAAAAUUGUUUCCAUUUUUCACUGCAUGGUACAUUCUACAAGAUAGAAUAUCCUACUGUUGCCUUGAUAGAUUCUCCUGGGAUUUGACCUUACACUUUGAUUUUACAUCUCUACGGUAAAUUGAUUUGUGUCUCUGUUUGCAUUUUGGAUUUGUGUUAUAUUUAGCGUUCAGCGUUCAGCGUUUUUAAUGUUCAGUUAUUUGUUGUUUCUGCCAAUUUGGGGCUUCAGGCUGUUAAACCAACUUGCUUCUAUAAACUGUUACUUAUGUUCCAGACCCGACUCGUGACCAUCGUGCUUACAAGUCCUUGCCAUGGCACUCAUCUGGUAUAGUUCAUUAUUAUUCAAGUAGUUCAUACCUCAUUGCAAUUUGAUAAAGUGUACAGAUAUGACCUUUCCUUAGGUAAAUUAAACCACUGGGAUAUAUCAUUUUGCAAAGGUAAAAUAUGUGUUAAAAUUUCCUGGCAGGAGUUCUUUCCAAGUAUAUGUGAUGCCAAUUGUAUAUACUUACCUUUUUCUUUUGCAAAAAUCUUGGCAGCCUCGGUCCCAUUAAUGUUUUACACCAUUAUUUUAAAGUUGACAUCUUUUCUGUAAUUGCUAUGGAUGCUAUCACCUCUGGUGUAAUUAAGGAAUGAUUACGUAAAGUGAAAUUAGCCAAGAUCAAACGUGUUCUAUGUCAAGUCCGGGAAGAUUCUAUCAAGUAACAUUGAUGAAAUACGGUCAUUCAGCAUAUUUAACCCCUUAAGGACCGAGGACGGUUUAGGACCAUCAUCUGCAUUUUUGCAUUGCCGACCGGUGACAGUCCUGAACUGUCCUAACGGUCUUAUGUACUUACCCGAAUGCAGUCAUUCCCCCCGGCGGUGAUCGGCGUUGCUCCCUUUGUGGGGAGACUGCCUGCAGCCCAGACAGUCUCCCCAUGGCGGAUUAGGACCCCUGGGGCCAUGUGAUCACUCAACACAGCGAUCACAUGGUCACAAUAGGUGUCCAUGUGUCUGCCUGCAGGGCGACUGUCUGUGCUCCCUGCUAGUGUAAAAUCCAAAAAAAGAAUAAAGGCUAAUGUUAAUAAAAAAAAUAAUUAUAUAUGUGUAUAUAAAUGUGAUAUAUAGACAUUUAUUAUAUCUAUAUAAUAUAUGUCUAUAUAUCAUAUAUAUAUAAUGUCGUGCUAAGUGUAUUUUUAUAUUAAUAUGUACAUAUAUUAAUAUAAAAAUACACUUAUAAUUAAAUUACACAUGUAUAUAUAUAAUAUAUAUAAUAACUAUAUAUAUUGUAUAUAUAUAUAUAUAUAUAUACAUAUAUAUAUAUAUAUAUAUAUUAUAAAAUACAAAUAAUAAGUAAUUUGAAUUAAAUUAAAAAAUGUAAAAAUAAUAAAACAAUUUAAAAAAAAAAAUUAUAUAUCUAUAUGAAAUUUUAUUCUAACUGUAUUUUGAUAUUAAUAUAUAUAUAUAUAUAUAUAUAUAUAUAUCAAAAUACACUUAGAAUGAAAUUGUAUAUAUAAAUAAAAAUAAAAUAAUACGAAAUAUACAUAUGUCCAUAUACAAAAUUACAUAAAUAAUUAUAUAAAUAUACACGUAGACUUCAAAUAUAUAAAUAUGCUUAUAUAUUUAAAUUCUAUGUGCAUAUUUAUGUAAUAUUUUUACAUAAUUGAGUAAUUUUAUUGAUUGCAAUUUGAGGGACCUGCCUGCCAACCCAGGCCAAAAGUCCAGAAAAUUUAAUUUGCCUGCACUGUAUUUUACCCUGUAACAUUCUACGACAGCCUAAAACCUGUACAUGGGGGGGGGGUACUGUUUUACUCGGGAGACUUGGCUGAACACAAAUAUUAGUGAUUCAAAACAGUAAAACAUAUCACAGCGAUGAUAUUGUCAGUGAAAGUGACUUUUUUUGAAUUUUUCACACACAAACAGCACUUUUACUGAUGAUAUAAUUGUGAUAUGUUUUCCAGUUUUGAAACACUGAUAUUUGUGUUCAGCAAAGUCUCCUGAGUAUAACAGUACCCCCCAUGUACAGGUUUUAUAGCGUUUUUGAAAGUUACAGGGUCAAAUAUAUGUGUCAAAUAUUUUUACAUUGAAAGUGGCCAGGUUGGUUACAUUGCCUUUGAGAGCGUAUGGUAGCCCAGGAAUGAGAAUUACCCCCAUGAUGGCAUACCAUUUGCAAAAGAAGACAACCCAAGGUAUUGCAAAUGGGGUAUGUCCAGCCUUUUUCAGUAACCACUUAGUCACAAACACUGGCCAAAAUAAGCGUUCAUUUAGUUUUUUACUUUUUUCACACACAAACAAAUAUGAACGCUAACGUUGGCCAGUGUUUGCGACUUAGUGGCUACUAAAAAAGUCUGGACAUACCCCAUAUUGAAUACCCUGGGUUGUCUACUUUAAAAAAAAUAUGUACAUGUGGGGUGUUAUUCAGAGAUUUAUGACAGAUAAUAGUGUUACAAUGUCACUAUUGAUAAAUUUUAAAAAUGUAUGUUUUGAAACUGCAAUAUCCUACUUGUACUUAUAGCCCUAUAACAUGCAAAAAAAUAGCAAAAAAGCAUGUAAACACUGGGUAUUUUUAAACUUAGGACAAAAUUUUGUAUCUAUUUAGCAGUUUUUUUUUUCAUUCGCUUUUGUAGAUGAGUAAAAGAUUUUUCAAGUAAAAGUCAAAAAACAUGUAUUUUUUUUCAAUUUGUCAUCAUAUUUUUUCAUUUGUUUUAAAUUAAAUUACAUGAGAUUAUAUAAAUAAUGGUAUGUAAAGAAAGCCCAUUUUGUCCUGAAAAAAAAAAAUAUAUAAUUUUUUAUGGGAACAGCAAAUGAGAGAGCUAAAAAAUUACAGCUAAACACAAACACCACAAAAGUGUAAAAAGAUGCCUGGUCGCAAAUGUACAACAUCCAAAAACAGUCCGGUCCUUAAGGGGUUAAGUAACAACAUUUUGUUAUUAUUGCAGAGCAAAGUUAACAUAAUAAAAGGUUAAAAAAGUAAUAUCUUAAAUAUGAAUAUUACUAACUUAAAUUAAGUGUGUAUUAUGUUAAAAUUAUGCUUAUUAUUUUUAGAUUACUGUAAAUUAAUAUAAUUUGUCUAACAUAUGUUUACGAGGUAAAAAUAAAUAAGUAAAGAUUAGUCAGAAGCUUUAGAAACUCGCCUUUCUGUCAUUUAUUUCUUUAAUUCAUUUUGAGAAAAAAAAAGUACAAUUACAAAUUACUUUAUUAGUGCAGUGUAUUGACUAACUCUUGUUCUUUUCAUUAGGAAGCACCUAACUGGCUAUCCAUCAAACUGUAAUUAUGCCAAUCAAGAGGCUAUUAGAAACGUCAGUCACAUUAGUCUGAAACAUUACUGGUCUGUUCACUAAGCAGUGAAUUGUGAUGCUGGAGCACCGGUUAGCAAAAUAAGAUGACUAGCAAAAUUACAUUGUCUCAAUGGACAGAUAAUGUUUUCAAUUCCUUCCGGACAUAGAAACAAGCCCUAUUGGACGGUGCCACUGACACUGUACAUGCGCAGCACCUAUGCUCAGAGCAGAAAUGGGACAAACUUGUCCAGCGUCCUCGAGAUUGUUGAGUUGUUCUGGACAACAUCCUCUACUCUAUUACUAACCUGCUCGAAGAGAGACUGCUCGAACCAGAGUCUCUCUCUCAAUCUUCAAAACCCCUUUUCCCAGCUUGUUUGGAAGAGAGGACGGAAGGAAGGAAGAUAGGAAUAAAGAGAGGAAGGAAGAAACUAAGGAAGAGAGGAAGGAAGGAAGGAAGGAAGAGAGAAAGAAUUGCUAGCAUCAUCUUUCUCUAUACUUAAAGUGACAUUCAUUCAUUUCAAGGUGGAGCAAUGUAUUUUUUAAAAUAAACUCAAUAUGAAUCCCACCUAUUUAUUUUCAGUAUGGUUAAGUAACAGUAUUGUGGUAUUUAACAGCAUUUUUGAUACAUAGUAGCUUGUGCAAUCCUCCUAGUGUCCUUAGGGGUCUAUUUAUCAAGUCACUUUGACUUAGACUAAUGCUUGCAAAGUGAUUUACAAAGCCUCUUAACAUCAAAGAUUGUGGACCUUGUCAUUGAUUUUUCUCUACUUCUAUUGAUAAGUUAAAGAAAGAGUAAAGAGCACACAGGCUGACAAGUGAAGUAAUAUAUCAAUGAAUCAAUAUUACAACACCCUAUUCUAAUCACGUUAACAGAUGCAAUAAUCUAAACAUCUGUAUUUAAGACUUUGUAUGUGUUUUCCUACAUAGGGUAACACAAGAGAUACAAACAGCAAUAGCAAUUCAGGGAAAAUAUAUUACAGUGGUAUAAAGAUAGCCCUCUGCAUUAUUUAUUAGAAUGGGGCUGCAUGAAAGUCUAUCCAAACUAGUACAACAGAAGACAAUAAACUGCAUUAACUGUGCUGCUGUGUUGGAUGGGGUAAAGUCUGGUAGGUAGAGUCAUAGAAAGAAGAAAAUUAAUAAUAAUAAUAAUCUAAUCAAUAAUGAACUCCUUGAUGAAUUAUUUUUCUAUGGGGGUUUGUUUUAACUAAUAUGAAGAUUAUUUUUAGAAAAAUCUAAAUGACAACUGUUUUCAACUUUAAAUGAAUAAAAGAGAAUUAAAUCUAAUUUAAUUAUUAAAUCAUGUUUAAGCCAUAUAGGAGCUUGUUGGUAUUUCUUACUAUUAAAUUGGUAAGAGCUAAAAUGGAAGUCGCAAUCAUUGGUGCUUACCAACAUAUUUCAUUGUCCAAAAUGAAAUGUUUACUGGUAGCAGCAUGUUUUUUUCCAUCUCCCAUUGAUAUGAAUAGCACCAAAUAAAACAAUGUAGCAUCUGAUUUCCAUGGUAAAUGAAAAACAUUAACACCACAUUGAAUAACAUUGUUAUCGCACUACACGUUACAUUUAGAGCUCAGUUGGAUAUAAUAUAAGAGAAAAUGCCAACCAACCUGUCAAUAUAAAUUAGUUAAAAAUGUACAUAUAAUGUCUAUGUGAGCACUGCAGCGUAACUGUGAGCUUUGUGUGGACAUGUAUCACGUUUUCAAUACAUUUCUGAGACAUUUUACAAAUCAGUUGUAUGCAAAAACAAUAGAAAAUCUGCUUUGUAAACUCAUGACAGUCAUAUAUAAAGUAUUAUUAAAAUAAAUUCUUACGAUGAAAAUUUUCUCUCUCAAUGUCAAAGGCCUCAACAGCCCAUACAAAAGAAGACAAGCUCUAAAAGAUAUGCACAACUCCAAUGCUGCUAUAGUAUGCCUCCAAGAAACUCAUUUUUGUAAAAAGAACCCUCCUAAUCUACGAUCCUCCAAAUACCCCUUAGCUUAUCAUGCUUAUGCGCCAAACAAAUCCAAAGGUGUAGCCAUCCUACUACAUGCAGACUGGGUAUUCACCCCUACUAACCAACAUGUUGACCCAAAUGGGAGAUUACUAAUCAUAGUGGGAGACCUCAACGGGAUUCAAGUGACGAUAGCAUCAUUAUAUGCACCAAAUGAGGCUCAAUUCUCCUUUCUCAACAAAGCCAUAAAAAAAUCUCCUCACUAAAACAAGGACAUGUUAUAAUUUGCGGUGACUGCAACUGUACACUAGACCCUACAUUAGAUGUUCAACGUGCCAACGAUAAAAAGCCUAACAAACUAACCAUCCACAACAGCAAAUCAUUCUCCAAUCUCAUUUUUUCGCAUGAUCUCUAUGAUACAUGGAGAAACCUAUUCCCAGCUGCUAAGGACUUCACUUACUUCUCCCCGGUCCACUUAACAUAUACACGAAUAGAUAUCUGCUUGAUAGAUAAAUCCACAUUGCCUCAUCUUUUAGACCAGAUGAUAGGGACCAGAACAUGGUCAGAUCAUGCCCCAAUAACUAUCACAAUAGCAGUGCCUUACCCAACGAGAGGCCGAGGCAAAUGGAGAUUAAACAAAUCCAUUCUUGACACACCUUCAAAUUUAGAAAAGACUGCCCGCGAACUGCAAAACUAUUUCGAAAUCAACACAACAAAUGAUACAUCAAUAGAAAACCAAUGGCUCGCUCAUAAAGCGGUGAUCAGAGGUGAAUUUAUCAAAAUAGGAUCAAUCAACAAGAAGAAAUCUCAUAACCUACAACGAAAGUUGCUUCAGAAACUCACGGAGCUGGAAAACGUCAACAAAUUAACCCCUUCCCGUACCAUGACGAAACAAAUAACGGAAACGCGUGACGAGAUACUAAAAAUUAAAGUCAAAGAAUUCACCACCAACGCAGCUAGACUUCAACGUCACUAUUAUGGCAUGGGCAAUAAGGCCGGAAAAUUGCUAGCAAACCAACUGAAAUCCAAAUAUCUUCAAACGAAAAUCCCAUAUAUUCUCUCAAAAUCACAGAUAAAAAUAUACAAUCCUACCGACAUAGUGAAUGAACUAGCAUCUUUCUAUGAGGAACUAUACAACCUAGACGCAAACGAGAACACGCACACUCCAGACAAAACAGACAUUCUAACUUACCUAGAAAAAAUACAACUGCCAAAAAUCUCACAACAACAAAAUGACACACUCACUGCCCCGUUCACGGAAUCAGAAGUAGCUGCGGCUAUUAAAUCUCUCCCCAGGCACAAAGCCCCAGGCCCAGACGGUCUCCCGAAUUACUAUUAUCUCAAAUUAGAACCAUACCUUUCCCCGCACAUAACCAAACUUUUUAAUAAAAUAAAAGAAACUGGCCACUUCCCUAGAACUAUGCUGGAAGCGUACAUCAUUACCCUACCCAAGCCAAAUAAACCACCCACUACCUGUGGCAAUCUAAGACCAAUUUCGCUAUUAAAUGCCGAUGUGAAGCUCUAUGCCAAACUUAUAGCCACAAGAUUGAAACCCUUGCUGUCUACCUUGGUCUCGGAAGAACAAGCAGGCUUCGUGCCUGGCAAGCAAGUGGGAGACAACACCAGAUUUUGCAUGGACCUCAUCGACUGGGCAACUCGCCAACGUAUGUCCGGGGUCUUAAUGGCCUUGGACGCAGAAAAGGCUUUCGAUCGCCUAAAUUGGACGUACAUGGAAACUGUCCUACAAGCUUAUGGAUUCUCGGAAUCCUUCAUCACAAGCAUUCUGGCCCUUUACUCCGCGCCAUCGGCGAAAGUACUGAACUCAGGAUUCCUAUCUAAAAGCUUUGACAUCUCCAAUGGUACGAGACAAGGGUGUCCCCUAUCCCCCCUCAUAUUUAUCUUAUGUUUAGAGCCUCUCAUUCGAACAAUCAAACAAGACCCCUUACUGCCAGGCUUUACCACACCAGCAGGGGAAAAGAAGCUUGCUUUAUUUGCAGACGAUGUUAUUCUUUUUUUAGCAAAUCCUAGAUGUGCCAUUCCCCAUCUCAUGUAUACUCUUGCCUCAUAUGGUAACUUGUCAUUUUAUAAAAAUAACAUCAGCAAAACACAAAUACUCCCUCUGAACCUCGAACCCCAGGUCACAACCGAUUUGAAAUUACAAUUCCCCUUUGAUUGGCGCAAGACUUCCGUUACAUAUUUAGGCAUCAAACUUACGCUAUCACACUCUCAAACUAUAAAAGAAAAUCAUGAGGCAGUCCUACUGAAAAUAUCCAACCAAUUGAAAUCCUGGGAUAAUUUGAACACUUCUUGGAUAGGAAGAGUGAAUUCGGUUAAAAUGAUGGCACUCCCUCAUAUUCUAUAUCUUUUUAGAACACUGCCCAUUACUCUUCCCAAAUCAAUUCUUACGAAAUUCCAAUCAACUAUCAACGCACAUAUUUGGAAAAGAAAACCUCCGAGAGUCGCUACUCACUCCCUAUGGAACCCCAUCCAUCAGGGUGGCCUGAGCGUUCCCAAUAUCACAAACUACUACAAAGCAUCCACGCUAGCACAGAGCCUGGACAUUAUGUCAGAGAAAACCAGCCCGAUUUGGCUUAAACUUGAACAAGCAUGUAGCCAACUCCAUUCCCUAUCUGACACUAUGUGGGCUACAAAAAAGAAAAGCCCUACCCACCCACCAUUGCCAUGCACAAAAUUUCUUCUGAACUCUUGGAAAGCAUGGAGCUCGAACCUCUGUUCCAAUCAAGAAUUUCUCUAUUUGGCACCAUUACGAGUCCUGUCUAUAAUAUCACCAGACUUGUCGAUAAUGCACUGGCAUCACCAAGGCUUAACCCAUGUUUACUCCCUGUAUAACUCCAAGGGCCUUCGCACAUUCCCUGACUUACAAGUCUCUCACAACCUACCACAUAGGGAUAUCUUCCUCUACAUGAGAGUCAAGCAUAUAUUGCACACUGCAAAUAUUAAAUAUCAAGACCCAUCAACACUUAGCUCAAUAGGCAACACUUGCUAUAACAUAAGCACAACUCGUAACCCGCCGAAAUUCCUCUCAUUGUGCUACCUAGCCCAAUUAAACAAGUCCAAGGAAACUAAAUUACCUUAUAUGCUAAACUGGGAAAAAGACUUGGGUACAGAGUUCCAUUUCAAGGACUGGCUUUCUGCGAUAGCAACUACCAAAAAAUCCACCAAAUGUGUUAAUCUAUGGGAAGCAUACUUUAAGGUACUAAUGAGAUGGUACUUAGUGCCCGAUAGGCUGAGCAAAAUAUACCCAACGGCUGCUCCUACAUGCUGGAGGUGCAAUAGGGGAAGGGGCACUAUAUUACACAUUUUCUGGGAAUGCCCACACCUGGGUACUUUUUGGACCUACGUGAAGAACGUCAUACACUCUAUCUCCGGGCUACAACUCUCCCUACGUCCUGACUUUUACUUGCUUCAUCUAAUACCGAACAUGAACCAACUCCCUUCGACGGCAGCUGUACUUAAUACUCUGAUUGCGGCAAAAUUAUGCAUUGCGUCUCAUUGGAAGAGUGACUUUAUCCCAUCAGCAAAAGAACUGCUUAACAGAAUAAACACUACGUAUUGCUAUGAAAAGGAAUGGGCAAUAAAAGGGAACAUGACCAAAUUCGACGGACAAUGGGAAGGAUGGGAAACCACGUACAAACACCGCAUCGACUCGGAAUAAAUUCCGCCUCUAGGAUGGAAGGCUUUCUCACACUACAUUUAAGGUCGCUCGGAUGUGAGGGUCUCAUUUCUCAUGUCCCCUGCCUCUUGCCUCUUGUCUCUUUCGCUCCUCUCCUCUCCCCCUCCUCUCCUUUCUCUACUCUCUCCUUUACUCCCCUGUCCCUCUACCUCGCCUUCCCCGCCCCCCUUCCUUCACAUCUCACCCUUGUCCAUCAUCUACCCUCUACCUCUUCUACAUCAACUCCUCAAACACUCCUAAAUGACUAAUCUAAAGGGCCAUCGACUAAGCAAAUGCACAACGGAUGGCGUGAUUCUGUGGCCGGAUUGACAGACCUCACGCGUAUAUAUGAUAUUCACCAGAACACACCAGUAGGCAAUACUUUAGUCAAACUACUUAAAUCUAAAACAUGGAAUGUCAGGAGACAAAUUCCCCUAUCAGAGGCUCCCUCCCACCUUCUUUAAGACCACAAAGCCAAUAUUAACACAUAUUGAACCAGGCACAGUAAACUAAGUACAGCUCUGACCUCUCCGCAGCUCCUGACCUGGUCUACCACCCCAGCAUACAGACGCUCAUUUACCACCACUAGGAGAAUCACACGCACUCGAGCAAGAGCCAUUAACAUUAAUCAACGGUCCCUCUAACGCCUGCAACUCAACGCAAUUUAGCGUCAUAGGACCUUAAAGGUGAUAUAUAUGUCAUCCUGAACGUGCUUAAGCAUGUUGGAUCAGUCUAUUCCACUCUAGUCCUGCCAUGUCCGAAUCAUUGCUGAAAAAACCCGAAGAUGUUAUGAUGUUCUCUUUAUGUAUAUUAGAUAACAUGUAUGAAUAUUAUGUACACAUGCAUUUAACUACUGUAUGGUCAUUAUACUAAAAACGCUGAUUGCAUAAUGCCUGCAUGUAUGUACAACCCACCAGGUAAAUGCUCCUGCAAUGUGUGAAAUGUACAAAAUCCAAUCCGUCUGUAACCCCCCCAACCCCCCCCCCCCCCCUUUUUUUCUACUUUCUGUAUCCCCA